GAGCUGACCUUUGCCUAGCUGUGAGGUUUGCUCGAGCCCCCAAGGUAUCAGCAACAUACGGGGUGUUGCUUGUGACCACAUGCUAUUCAUUAGUGAAAUAGUCAUACCAUCCCUAAAGCUUUUGUUUUAGGAAGGACCUUGGCAGAUGAGGAUGAGGGGUUGGAUAUUUUUUAUGAUGCAAUAUACGGAACAUGUAAUGGAGAAUAAUUUUUAGAGAGGUAUAUUUACCAGUGUUGAAGUUAUGUACCCUUUAGGAGCUGAGAUCACGAGGAUGUUGAAAAAGCCAUGAAGCUCGUUGACCACACCACGAGCAGAGAGGUCGAUGUACCCCUU
RNAcentral lists this long non-coding RNA (333 nucleotides) under Oryza brachyantha (malo sina). RNAcentral's name for it is "long non-coding RNA (OBRA_LNC002002)". Lineage: Eukaryota; Viridiplantae; Streptophyta; Magnoliopsida; Poales; Poaceae. The record is from RNAcentral.